AAUAGUAGAAUUUUAUAAAAAAAUUAAAUUUUAAUGUCAAAAUUCAAUCGAAUAAAAGUAAAGUUGUAAAAUUUAAAAUAAAUUUAAAAUAUAAUGGUAAAUUUAUCUUUAGCCUAGAAAUACAAUAUCAAAUGUCAAUUAAAUAAGCCUUUUGUGAAACCCUAGCAACCAAGAGUGCUUCCUAUAGUGUCCUGGAGAAGGCAGUAGUAUUGCAGCUUAGGAUAAAGGAAAGUGGUGGUGACGUUGGGGUAGGGAGAGAUGAGAUCGGGCUUUUAGCUGAAGAACUCCUUCAACUCUCAGUCAAAGGAUCGAUGGUGGUGCCGAGUGAGAAGUCUAAUCUGAUCUGCACAAUUUAGACUGAAAAAUUGUAUAAUCAAUAUAGUUUGAAAGCACAAAUGAGGAGUAUAUGGAAUACAAGAAAGAAAUUUGAGUUUCAGACGGUAGGGCAGAAUUUGUUCUUAACUGAAUUUGAUCUUGAAGAGGAUCUGGAGACAAUAAUGGAGGGGAGACCAUGGCUUUUCAUUAAGAGUCUUAUUUUAUUUAAUAGGUUAUCUUAACCAGUAGAAAGAACUAAGAUUUGGCUUAUUUCUUCUCUUUUUUGGUUGAAAAUAGGGGCGUGUUUACCAGAGUACGACAAAAAAGAUCUGUUGCAUGCAAUUGGAGUCAAAUUUGGAGGUUUAAUAAGAUCCGAGAUCAAUGGUGAGGUGUGUCGUCUUAGGAUCAAUUUAAAUGUACAGAAGUCGCUUCGACGAGGUAUUUUUGUCUCAAUUAAUAAUAUGACUAAGUCAUGGAUCCCUUUUAAGUAUGAAAGUUUACCAAUGUUUUGCUUUGGUUGUGGACGAAUGGGGCAUAGCUUUAAAAAAUGCUCAGUGCUAACUCCAACAGAAAUAAGUAAAAUAGGUGAUGAUUCACCUUACACACUAGCUUCGAAAGCAGAAUCUAAUUUAAUUGGGAAGGAAUGUGUGAAAUUUAGAGCGAUUUUAAAGAGAGAAGGGGCUCAAUGCUCGUAUAUAGGAGAGGAAGAAUCGGUUCUAAGAAGGGCAGUACGCAUAAAGAAGGAAUAAAUAUGAAUGGGAUGCAAAUAACGAAGCUCAAUGGAAAUGGUAAAAAGGACGAUAUGGAAUAAGAGGACACAUCAAUAGCUAAGGAUGAUGACCAGCUGGUGGACAAUAAAUAUCAGUCGGGUAAUGAAUCAUGCUCAUCUAAAAAGAAAGGAUGGAGAAGAAUCGGUCCAAUGGCUACUUUGAUAUAAAGCAGGGAGGUUAAUAAUAAGAGGAAAAGGAAAUUUAUGGAGGAAGAAUGUGUAGUCUGGUGUUUGGAUGGUGGACAAGCAGAGGGAGUUAAAAGAGCGAGAUGGGAGAGUUUAGAGGAAGGUGGGGAAGUCUGGCCUCAAGUAAUGAAUGAGAUCACGGAGGAGAAUAAUCUUUCUGAAUGCACAAAAUCGACGGCUGCCAACUGGCAAGCCGACCGGAAGCCAUGAAACACAUUAGUUGGAAUGUCCGUGAGAUUGGGGAAUCCACGGAUAAUAAGAAGGUUGCGAUAUUUUCUAAAGUAGCAUAAUCCCCAUAUAGUCUUCUUAAUGGAGACAAAAAUUAACAAGCAACGCUUGGAGAUGGUCAGGAGAGGUUAGGGUUUUUUUAAUGGUAUCAUGUUGAAGCGGAAGGUUCGAGAGGUGGAUUAAGUCUAGCGUGGAAAGGUGAUAUUGCAGUUACUUUGAGGAGUUUUUCUAAACAUCAUAUUGAUGUCAUGGUUAAGAAGGACGAUGACAAAGAAGAAUGGAGAUUGACAGGUUUCUAUGGCUCACCUUAUGUUCAAGAUAAGAGUGUUUCUUAGGACUUACUAAGGAAACUAGGACAAGAUAAAAAUCAUCCAUGGUUAGUAUGUGGAGAUUUCAACGAAAUAUUGUACUCGUUUGAAAAAAGAAGAGGGGUACCAAGGGAGGAGCGAAGAAUGAAGGUUUUUCGGGAAACUUUAGAAGUGUGCCAACUAGUAGAUUUGGGAUUUAAGGGAACUUGGUAUACAUGGGAAAGAAGGAAUUUGCCAAAAACUAAUAUAAGAGAAAGACUUGAUAGAGAAGUUGUAAAUGAUAAAUAAAUGCAUAUCUUUCCAACAGGUAAUAUUUGACAUUUACCUCAUUCAAUAUCGAAUCAUUAUCCACUCCUUUUAAAUACAAAAGGGGAAAUAAGUAUAUGGGAAUUCCAAGAUUUAAAUUUGAAGUAUGGUAGACUCUAGAAGAGACAAUGGAAGUAGUAGUUAAAGAUUCAUGGGAAUCAACCAGGGGUACAAUAGUGGAGAAGUUGGAACGGCUACAAAUAGACCUGAAAGAUUGGGAGUGAACAAUUAAAGAAGGGAGGGACGGAUUAAAGAAAAAUCUUACAAGGGAUCUUGAGAUGAUGUUGGCGGAGGAACAAAGUGACGAAAUGAUUGCCAAAAUUAUAGAUACAAAAAUUUCUCUUAAUUUAGGAAUUAACAAAGAUGAGAUUUAUUGGGAAUAAAGGGCAAGAGCAAACUGGCUUCAAACAGGUGAUAAGAAUUCAGCCUUUUUUCAUAGAUUUGCUUCUUAUCGUCGACGAGUGAAUAUAAUCAAUGUGUUGGAGACAGAGGAGGGAGGAGAGGCUACAGAUUCUAACAAGAUUAGUGAAGUGGCUACUCUAUUUUCUAAAAGCUAUUCAAGACAAAUGGUGUCGGAGAUUCAUCUCAUCUUUUAACAGGCAUUGAAAGUAGGGUUUCAACAGAGGUCAAUGAUGCUCUAUUAUCAACUUUUACAGAAGAGAAAGUGUAUUCGGCAUUGAAAGAUAUGGGGCCUACUAAAGCCCCAGGACCGGAUAGUUUUCCAGCACCAUUCUUUCAAAAAUACUGGCACAUAGUAGGUAAAGAUGUCACUAAUUUUUGUUUGGGAAUUUUAAAUAAAAGUCAAAAUUUUGGCUCUCUUGAUCAAACAGAUAUCGUGUUGAUCCCAAAAACUCAAAAUCCUACAAGUCUAAUCAAUUUUAAACCUAUCAGUUUGUGUUCAGUUCUUUGCAAAAUAGUGGCAAAGGCAAUAGCUAACAGAUUUCAAGGAGUAAUUGGUAGGUGUAUUAAUGAGGCACAAAGUGCUUUUAUACCGGGAAGGUUAAUAUCUAAUAAUGUGAUGGCCUAUGAGAUAUUACAUUCUAUUCAGCAAAAGCGAACAAGACUGAAGGGAUACAUGGCGGUUAAACUUGAUAUGAGCAAAGCAUAUGAUAGAGUUGAAUGGAGUUUUCUUCAGGAUAUCAUGUUGCAAAUGGGUUUAGCCAAUAAAUGGGUGGAAUUGAUUAUGAAGUGUAUUUCCACAACAUCUUUUGCGGUUAAUAUAAAUGGGAGUAGAGGAAGAACUUUUCAAUCAUCUCGAGGUCUACGUCAAGGAGAUCCACUAAGCCCUUUUCUUUUUCUUGUAUACAGUGAGGGCCUCUCAUCGUUGAUGAGAUUGGCAAUUAAAAAAGAUGUGGUAAAAGGUGCAAAGGCUAGUAGGAGAGGACCAGUAAUAUCACAUUUGCUUUUCGCAGAUGAUUGUAUAUUGUUUGGUGAGGCAUCAGAUAAGGGAGCGACAACACUAAAGGGUAUUCUGAAGGAGUACGAGAAAUGCUUAGGUCAAUGUGUAAAUUUCAAUAAAUCCACUAUUUUUUACAGUUCGAAUACUCCAAAAAGGAGGAAAGCUGAAGUCUCGACAAUAUUAGGGGUACGAAGCUCUACAAAUCUAGAGAAAUAUCUCGGUCUUCCCAAUGUGGUUAGUAGGAGGAAAAAAGAGUCAUUUCAAAACCUUAAAGAGAAAGUUCAUUCAAGAAUCCAUGGGUGGAGUACUAGAUUUUUAUCACAAGGAGGUAAGGAAGUUUUUAUAAAAUCAAUACUUCAGGCUAUCCCAACUUAUGCGAUGUCAUGUUUCCUUCUUUCAGCUUCUUUUUGUAAAGAAUUAGAAAGCAGUUUUGCUAAACUUUGGUGGCAGAAAGCAUAGGGCAAAAGAGGAAUUCAUUGGUGUCAAUGGAAAAAUUUGUGUCUUUCUAAAGAAGAGGGUGGAAUGGGAUUUCAAAGUAUGGCAAAAUUCAAUAUCGCUUUGCUUGCAAAACAAGGUUGACGAAUUCUAAACAAUCCAGAUUCUUUAGUAACACAAGUUCUCAAAGGAAAAUAUUUCCCGAAUGAUAGCUUUUUAAAGGUGCAGUUGAAGAAUAAUGUUUCAUACAUAUGGAAGAGUAUAUGGGUCGCUCGGAGUACUGUUGAAAUGGGAUUAUGUUGGAAGGUAGGUAGGGGCUCGAAUAUUUUAGUACUUAAUGAUGUGUGGGUACUAGAAUUGAAAAAUAUCAGAUUAACGUCUUUAGUUACUGAUAUGAGUGAUUUUAGAGUUGCUGAGCUGAUUGAUAUUAAUAGCAGAUCAUGGAAAAAAGAGCUGAUAGAAGUUACCUUUCCAGAGGAAGUAGUAGAGAAGAUCCUUCAGACAUCGUUGGUAAAAGAACCCCAUGAAGAUUUUCGAGCCUGAAGUGGUGAACCCUCGGGAAAGUUUACAGUGCGCAGUACCUAUAAACUAUUACAAAACAUAGAAGAAGAGCCUAGAGCUUACGCUUUACAAAACGACUACAAUAAAUUUUACAAAAAGCUAUGGAGUACAAAUAUUCCCUCAAAGAUAAAAAUUACAGUCUGGAAAAUUUCAAAAAUUUUCUUAGCUACAAGGGCCAAUAUGUAUCAACGGAGAGUUUUAAAUAUCAUAGAAUGCCCUCGAUAUGGACGAGGAUCAGAAAGUAUGGACCACCUAUUCGGAGAAUGUUCAAUUUCAGUAACAGCAUGUCAAGAAUUAUCAUAUCAGUAUGUGUUACAAUAACCGAACCUGGAGUUCGCACAGUGGCUCAUUUGGGUGUUUUUGCAGAGUUCUCCAUCUCAGAGUAAGGUUGUCUGCUGUGUAUUAUGGGCAAUUUGGGGUGACAGAAAUAACAGGAUUCACAAGAAGACCAACAAAACUGGAAACGAAAUAGCAUGUUUUGUACAAAGUUACAUCUCAGAGCUAAGUGCGAUAGAACAAAAAAAGACAGGAAAAUGCAAAGUUAUUAGUAAAUAGAAGCCUCCACCUGUAAAGGUCGUGAAGAUCAACUUCGAUGCAGCUUUUGAUGAAAGAUCUCGGCAAUUGUCAAGGGGAUUAGUAGCCAGGAACAGUAAGGGCAGGGUUCUGGUUUCGUGCUCGGAGAUCACGAGUGAGUUGCAUCGGCUUUUGCUGCUGAGGCUCUCACAUGUCGCACAGCAGUUCGACUCGGUAUUAACAUGCAAUAGACAUCAGUUAUCAUUGAGGGUGAUUCAUUAGCAAUAAUAAAGAAGUGCAAGUUGGAUAGUAUAGAUAAUUCACAGAUAGGGGCUUAUAUCUACGACAUUUAGAGGUCACUGUCAAUUUCCAAGAAUUUCAGAUUUGAGUUCAUCCCACGAACAGCAAAUGAACUAGCACAUAGUAUAGCCACUGAAUCAAUGAAGGAAAAGAAAGAGUUUUACCUGAUAGGAUGGGUUCCUAAAUUCGCUGAGAAACAUGCUGACAAAGAGAGGGUGCGAGAACUAGACUGAACACGAAGGUCAGAUGAAACCCUGGAGAGCGUUUGAAAUGGAAAUAAAAAGACAAGGAGAAUACAACUCUCUGUGGAAAUCUGGAUAGGGUUUUGCAGAAAGGAUGAGGAAAAUGUAAGAAUGAAGGCAAAAUGUGAAAUGGAGAGAAGAGAUUAGUAAUCAAUAGCUUCAGUGGAAGAGCUCUCCUUGGAAAUCUGGAAGAGUCAUGAAGAAGAAACGACAGACGAUUAGAUGGGACGGGCAACAGAUUGCUUUUUCUGAUUGGGCAAUGAAACGGUGGUUUUUUAAUUAGGUUUUAGAAUAUACUAUUAUGUUUUAGGAG
This 5875-nucleotide long non-coding RNA is filed under the name Gossypium barbadense (sea-island cotton). RNAcentral's name for it is "long non-coding RNA (GBAR_LNC001951)". Lineage: Eukaryota; Viridiplantae; Streptophyta; Magnoliopsida; Malvales; Malvaceae. The record is from RNAcentral.